Molecule: long non-coding RNA, 770 nt
Filed under: Heterocephalus glaber (naked mole-rat)
Lineage: Eukaryota; Metazoa; Chordata; Mammalia; Rodentia; Bathyergidae
Description: lncRNA (ENSHGLG00100035912.1)
Source: RNAcentral
CCACCCCCAACGCUCCCUCUGGGAGGCACGUUUGAGACCUGGAGCUCCUGUCUCUUCGUACUUGUCCACCUGGUGAAUAAACUCGUUCUCUUCUGCAAAGGUCGUCAUUUCAAUGAUUGGCGGCCCCUGCAGCAGGCAAAACAGGCUGGCUUGUUAACAGUGGCUUCCAUUUGGUUCGCUUUGGGUGGAUUCCUUUUCUGACAAACAGGGCAGAAAUAAGAAGAAAAGGAGAAGAAGCACCAAAGAGGCACUCAGGGAGAAAGGGGUACUUUGAAGGAAAAAGAGAAGAUACAUCCUGCAAACAGAAAGGACCACCGAAAGAACAAGAGGGCAGUGGCCCCAAAGUCACUUGCUUCUGUUCUUUUAUGUCUUCUUUGACAGCUGGGGCUCCGCUCACAUUUAGUCCUGCUCAUUGCAACAUUCGGAGUGCUCUUCUUGAUGGUGUCCGAGGAUCUUACACGAGCAGUUCGGAGGAUCAAACUCAGGACCUUGCACUUGCGGGGCAGGCACAGGGCCACUGAGCUAAAUCCCCAGCCCAAAAAGUGAUUGUUAUUUCCAGCGCUUUAUCACUCUCUUUCUCGUACUGGGGAUUAAACCUAGGGCCUUUGCCCUGAGCUGUAUCACUAGCCCAUGUUUUAUUUUUCUUUUGAGACAGGGUCUCAUUAAGUCAUUAAGUUGCCAAAGCUGAACUCAAACUUGCACUCCUGCCUCAGCCUCCCAGAGUGCUGGGAUCGAAGACCUAGGCAGGCACCUUUCAUGAGGUCUUCCCA